UACGUAGGAAGCAAGCGUUGUCCGGAAUUACUGGGCGUAAAGCGCGUGUAGGCGGUACGACAAGUCUGCUGUGAAAGCGCCCGGCUUAACCGGGCGAGGUCAGUGGAUACUGCCGGGCUAGAGUCCGGAAGAGGCGAGUGGAACUCCUGGUGUAGCGGUGGAAUGCGCAGAUAUCAGGAAGAACACCAACGGCGAAGGCAGCUCGCUGGGACGGUACUGACGCUGAGACGCGAAAGCGUGGGGAGCGAACAGG
RNAcentral lists this ribosomal RNA (253 nucleotides) under uncultured bacterium. RNAcentral describes it as "partial 16S ribosomal RNA". It matches the Rfam family "Bacterial small subunit ribosomal RNA", at positions 524 to 776 of the family's 1533-position model. The record is from RNAcentral.